Long non-coding RNA from Catharus ustulatus (Swainson's thrush), 484 nucleotides. RefSeq lists it as uncharacterized. The record is from RefSeq and is a predicted model, not a curated record. Lineage: Eukaryota; Metazoa; Chordata; Aves; Passeriformes; Turdidae. The transcript has 3 exons.
CCGCCCAUAGCGAAGGUGGUGAUGGGGAUCAGGGGCUUUGUGUUGGGCUUGAUCUUCCUGGAACUGGGGCGUGGCUUCUACCUGCGGAAGAAGAGUUCCUGAGCCAGCAGCAGCUGAAGCCCCACCCCGUGACCUCAGGCCCGGCCAGGACCCCCCACUCUUUCCGCACGUUUAUUUUGGAGGGCGGCGGUGUGUUCCUCCCAGCCCUGCUAUAGCUCUGCCCCUGCCCGGCUGCUCCCAGCGUUCCCAAUAAACCUUCCCAGGACCACCAGGAGCACGGAUCACCAGGGCUGUGCCCAACGGGGGUCACUGGGGAUCAUCCAAGGCUGAUCCUUCACACAACGGCCAGAGCUGAACUCACUUUACCAUUACGAUCCUGUGCCCAGAGUGGGUCACAACCCGGGAACAGGAGGCCUUAGAUGUGGCUCGAGCUGUGGCUCCAUGGCCUUUUGGCUGUCAGAUUGCAUUCGAAGGAGGCAAGGAG